This 310-nucleotide long non-coding RNA is filed under the name Capsicum annuum. Its description in RNAcentral is "long non-coding RNA (CANN_LNC018411)". The record is from RNAcentral. Lineage: Eukaryota; Viridiplantae; Streptophyta; Magnoliopsida; Solanales; Solanaceae.
CGGCAUAGGCGGAAACAAAAGAAUCGUAAUUCCUGCGUUAUAAAAAAACAGAUAAUCCAUAUCUUGCAGUUCAUGCAAGCGUUGUGAAAUUUAUGAAAUGAAACUAAAUCAUGACACUUAAACUUACAGGCUACCAAUCGUUUGUUGAGAAAUUCCGUCAACAUAUUGUACAUCAAAUGGAUUAGGCAUUUUAUCCCGGUAUGCUUCAAUCGUCGACCAAUCAGUAUGGACCUUUUGAUCCAAAAAGCCACUCAUAUCAAGGUAAGUAAGCAAUAUUUUGGCCAGUUUUUGUAUCUCAGACAACGAUCCG